GCUUAAUUGCGUAUCAAUAAUAGAGACCUAGUAUACGCGUAGACUCAUGCGGUAGUGACCCCCCUUCACAGGGCGCGUGUCGCACGUAUGUUAUACGCACAGGUCUCCGAUAGCAACGAACGUGACCGUACUCUAUUGUUGCAGCGACAAUACCUUUCAACGGGUAUUACCGCUGCUUAGCAAGAUUCGUCUUGCAUUAAACUAUAGAGACCGCUGUUUCUUCUUUAAACCAGAGGAAGGAUACGGCAAUAACAGGUCUGUGAUGCCCUCAGAUGUUCCGGGCUGCACACGUGCUACAAUGAUCAUUGCACUGUGCAUCUAACCCGAUGUGCGCGGACGCCGCCGUGCGUAUAUACUUUAUUGUGUAUGCGUAUCGUGCGUGCGACCGCGCCGAACCUGCUUCGAAAGUAAACAUUUCCAGCGGGUAAUCCAUUAGAAGUAAUGACUCGCAUAGACCAUGGCACACUAUAUGUACCCGCGGGUUCUACCCGGCUCGCCUUUGUGUGAGUGCAGUGCGUAGCUCGUUGUUUGGUACGUGCCACUCCGUAUUAAUUCAUACGUGGGGAUAGAUCAUUGUUUAAUUGUUGGUCUCGGUCUUAACUAGGAAUGCCUUGUACGGGUCUUUGGUUCAACAUACCACCCGGAAUACGUCCCUGCCCUUUGUACACACCGCCCGUCGCUCUUACCGAUGGAUUAUACUAUGAAUCUAUAGGACUGCCAAAGUUGCUCUUCGGGCGCUUAGUGGAAAUAUAUAUGAAUAGUGGAU
RNAcentral lists this ribosomal RNA (766 nucleotides) under Ammonia sp. genotype T6. RNAcentral's name for it is "SSU rRNA". It matches the Rfam family "Eukaryotic small subunit ribosomal RNA", at positions 1313 to 1771 of the family's 1831-position model. The record is from RNAcentral. Lineage: Eukaryota; Foraminifera; Rotaliida; Rotaliidae.